GACGAACGCUGGCGGCGUGCCUAAUACAUGCAAGUAGAACGCUGAAGGAGGAGCUUGCUUCUCUGGAUGAGUUGCGAACGGGUGAGUAACGCGUAGGUAACCUGCCUGGUAGCGGGGGAUAACUAUUGGAAACGAUAGCUAAUACCGCAUAAUAGUAGAUGUUGCAUGACAUUUGCUUAAAAGGUGCAAUUGCAUCACUACCAGAUGGACCUGCGUUGUAUUAGCUAGUUGGUGGGGUAACGGCUCACCAAGGCGACGAUACAUAGCCGACCUGAGAGGGUGAUCGGCCACACUGGGACUGAGACACGGCCCAGACUCCUACGGGAGGCAGCAGUAGGGAAUCUUCGGCAAUGGACGGAAGUCUGACCGAGCAACGCCGCGUGAGUGAAGAAGGGUUUCGGAUCGUAAAGCUCUGUUGUAAGAGAAGAACGAGUGUGAGAGUGGAAAGUUCACACUGUGACGGUACCUUACCAGAAAGGGACGGCUAACUACGUG
RNAcentral lists this ribosomal RNA (495 nucleotides) under uncultured bacterium. Its description in RNAcentral is "partial 16S ribosomal RNA". It matches the Rfam family "Bacterial small subunit ribosomal RNA", at positions 28 to 507 of the family's 1533-position model. The record is from RNAcentral.